UGACUUCGAUAAUCUUAUUGUUGAAGUCACCUAGCCAACUGACGUUGUUAGUGAAUGUACAUUGUUCACACAAUAGGUCGAAUAGACUUAAUCGAACCAAUCGCAAAUUAGCGGUUGGUUUUUUUUUG
This 128-nucleotide small RNA is filed under the name Vibrio sp. qd031. RNAcentral's name for it is "Qrr RNA". It matches the Rfam family "Qrr RNA". Rfam says of the family: This family represents a set of small RNAs (the Qrr RNAs) that are thought to be involved in the regulation of quorum sensing in Vibrio species. Lineage: Bacteria; Pseudomonadati; Pseudomonadota; Gammaproteobacteria; Vibrionales; Vibrionaceae. The record is from Rfam by way of RNAcentral.